RNAcentral lists this ribosomal RNA (365 nucleotides) under uncultured bacterium. Its description in RNAcentral is "bacterial SSU rRNA". It matches the Rfam family "Bacterial small subunit ribosomal RNA", at positions 32 to 389 of the family's 1533-position model. The record is from RNAcentral.
AAUCAACGCUGGCGGCGUGCCUCAGACAUGCAAGUCGAACGAUUAAACUUUCCUUCGGGAAAGAUAUAAAGUGGCGCACGGGUGAGUAACACGUAGGUAAUGUGCCUUUGGGUGGGGAAUAACUUAGGGAAACUUAAGCUAAUACCGCAUAAUGCAGCGGCUCCUUCGGGAGACAGUUGUUAAAGAUUUAUCGCCUAAAGAGCAGCCUGCGGCAGAUUAGCUAGUUGGUAAGGUAACGGCUUACCAAGGCUACGAUCUGUAUCCGACCUGAGAGGGCGGUCGGUCACACUGACACUGACAUACGGGUCAGACUCCUACGGGAGGCAGCAGUCGGGAAUUUUGGGCAAUGGGCGAAAGCCUGACCC